This 244-nucleotide ribosomal RNA is filed under the name uncultured bacterium. RNAcentral's name for it is "partial 16S ribosomal RNA". It matches the Rfam family "Bacterial small subunit ribosomal RNA", at positions 90 to 334 of the family's 1533-position model. The record is from RNAcentral.
CGUGAGCGGCGGACGGGUGAGUAACGCGUGGGUAACCUACCUCAUACGAGGGGAUAACAGUUAGGAACGGCUGCUAAUACCGCAUAAGCGCACAGUACCGCAUGGUACCGUGUGAAAAACUCCGGUGGUAUGAGAUGGACCCGCGUCUGAUUAGCUAGUUGGUGGGGUAACGGCCUACCAAGGCGACGAUCAGUAGCCGACCUGAGAGGGUGACCGGCCACAUUGGGACUGAGACACGGCCCAA